GUACCUGCAGAAGAAGCGCCGGCUAACUACGUGCCAGCAGCCGCGGUAAUACGUAGGGCGCAAGCGUUGUCCGGAAUUAUUGGGCGUAAAGAGCUCGUAGGCGGCUUGUCGCGUCUGCUGUGAAAGCCCGGGGCUUAACUCCGGGUGUGCAGUGGGUACGGGCAGGCUAGAGUGCAGUAGGGGUAACUGGAAUUCCUGGUGUAGCGGUGAAAUGCGCAGAUAUCAGGAGGAACACCGAUGGCGAAGGCAGGUUACUGGGCUGUUACUGACGCUGAGGAGCGAAAGCAUGGGGAGCGAACAGGAUUAGAUACCCUGGUAGUCCAUGCCGUAAACGUUGGGCACUAGGUGUGGGGGACAUUCCACGUUUUCCGCGCCGUAGCUAACGCAUUAAGUGCCCCGCCUGGGGAGUACGGCCGCAAGGCUAAAACUCAAAGGAAUUGACGGGGGCCCGCACAAGCGGCGGAGCAUGCGGAUUAAUUCGAUGCAACGCGAAGAACCUUACCAAGGCUUGACAUACACCGGAUCGUUCCAGAGAUGGUUCUUCCCUUUUGGGCUGGUGUACAGGUGGUGCAUGGUUGUCGUCAGCUCGUGUCGUGAGAUGUUGGGUUAAGUCCCGCAACGAGCGCAACCCUCGUUCUAUGUUGCCAGCACGUGAUGGUGGGGACUCAUAGGAGACUGCCGGGGUCAACUCGGAGGAAGGUGGGGAUGACGUCAAAUCAUCAUGCCCCUUAUGUCUUGGCUUCACGCAUGCUACAAUGGCCGGUACAAUGGGUUGCGAUACUGUGAGGUGGAGCUAAUCCCAAAAAGCCGGUCUCAGUUCGGAUUGGGGUCUGCAACUCGACCCCAUGAA
Molecule: ribosomal RNA, 850 nt
Filed under: Rothia kristinae
Lineage: Bacteria; Bacillati; Actinomycetota; Actinomycetes; Micrococcales; Micrococcaceae
Description: bacterial SSU rRNA
Rfam family: Bacterial small subunit ribosomal RNA
Source: RNAcentral